AGCAGUAGCCGCGGGAAUACGUAGGUCCCGAGCGUUGUCCGGAUUUAUUGGGCGUAAAGCGAGCGCAGGCGGUUUGAUAAGUCUGAAGUUAAAGGCUGUGGCUCAACCAUAGUUCGCUUUGGAAACUGUCAAACUUGAGUGCAGAAGGGGAGAGUGGAAUUCCAUGUGUAGCGGUGAAAUGCGUAGAGAUGUGGAGGAACACCAGUGGCGAAGGCGACUCUCUGGUCUGUAACUGACGCUGAGGAGCGAAAGCGUGGGGAGCGAACAGGAUUAGAUACCCCUGUAGUCCCUGUCUCUUAUACU
RNAcentral lists this ribosomal RNA (303 nucleotides) under uncultured bacterium. RNAcentral describes it as "partial 16S ribosomal RNA". It matches the Rfam family "Bacterial small subunit ribosomal RNA", at positions 507 to 810 of the family's 1533-position model. The record is from RNAcentral.